Molecule: ribosomal RNA, 439 nt
Filed under: uncultured Acholeplasma sp.
Lineage: Bacteria; Bacillati; Mycoplasmatota; Mollicutes; Acholeplasmatales; Acholeplasmataceae
Description: bacterial SSU rRNA
Rfam family: Bacterial small subunit ribosomal RNA
Source: RNAcentral
UCAUGUUGUUUAAUUCGAUGAUACGCGAAGAACCUUACCAGGUCUUGACAUCCCCCGCGAUGCUUUAGAGAUAAAGCGGAGGUAUUCGGGGAGACAGGUGGUGCAUGGUUGUCGUCGGCUCGUGUCGUGAGAUGUUGGGUUAAGUCCCGCAACGAGCGCAACCCUAUUGCUAGUUACCAUCAUUAAGUUGGGGACUCUAGCGAGACUGCCAGUGAUAAACUGGAGGAAGGUGGGGAUGACGUCAAAUCAUCAUGCCCCUUAUGACCUGGGCUACAAACGUGAUACAAUGGCUGGAACAGAGGGAUGCGAAGCAGUGAUGUGGAGCGAAACCCAUAAAAACAGUCUCAGUUCGGAUUGAAGUCUGCAACUCGACUUCAUGAAGUCGGAAUCGCUAGUAAUCGCGGAUCAGAACGCCGCGGUGAAUACGUUCUCGGGGUUU